UACCCGCUGAACUUAAGCAUAUCAAUAAGCGGAGGAAAAGAAACCAACAGGGAUUACCUUAGUAACGGCGAGUGAAGCGGUAAAAGCUCAAAUUUGAAAUCUUCGGAAUUGUAAUUUGACGGGUAGAAUUUGUUUUUUAAAGAAAGUUCACUGGAAUGUGACGCCACAGAGGGUGAUAGCCCCGUUAAUCAAAAAAACUACUUAAUUCUAUUCCUAAGAGUCGGGUUGUUUGGGAAUGCAGCUCAAAGUGGGUGGUAAAUUCCAUCUAAAGCUAAAUAUUGGCGAGAGACCGAUAGCGAACAAGUACAGUGAUGGAAAGAUGAAAAGAACUUUGAAAAGAGAGUGAAAUAGUACGUGAAAUUGUUGAAAGGGAAGGGAAAGGGGGAGAUAAUUCAAGCUAAUACUUCUGUGUUGCUUGACCACAUC
Molecule: ribosomal RNA, 426 nt
Filed under: Metschnikowia dekortorum
Lineage: Eukaryota; Fungi; Ascomycota; Pichiomycetes; Serinales; Metschnikowiaceae
Description: LSU rRNA
Rfam family: Eukaryotic large subunit ribosomal RNA
Source: RNAcentral